CCUACGGGUGGCAGCAGUGAGGAAUAUUGGUCAAUGGGCGCGAGCCUGAACCAGCCAAGUAGCGUGAAGGAUGACUGCCCUACGGGUUUUAAACUUCUUUUAUAAAGGAAUAAAGUGAGGCACGUGUGCCUUUUUGUAUGUACUUUAUGAAUAAGGAUCGGCUAACUCCGUGCCAGCAGCCGCGGUAAUACGGAGGAUGCGAGCGUUAUCCGGAUUUAUUGGGUUUAAAGGGUUCGUAGGCGGGCUGUUAAGGCAGCGGGAAAAGCCCGGGGCGCAACCCCGGCGAGCCGUUGAAACUGGCGGUCUUGAGAUGUCGAGAGGUAUGCGGAAUGCGCAGUGUAGCGGUGAAAUGCUUAGAUAUUGCGCAGAACUCCGAUUGCGAAGGCAGCAUACCGGCGGCGAUCUGACGCUGAGGCACGAAAGCGUGGGUAUCGAACAGGAUUAGAUACCCUUGUAGUC
RNAcentral lists this ribosomal RNA (459 nucleotides) under uncultured bacterium. RNAcentral describes it as "partial 16S ribosomal RNA". It matches the Rfam family "Bacterial small subunit ribosomal RNA", at positions 338 to 795 of the family's 1533-position model. The record is from RNAcentral.